GUCAUCCCCUUUUACGCAGUAGAUAAAAACCAUGUGCUUCCAAUUGGGCUUCUGUGCAUAGGAGGCGACGAGGGAGGAGGUGGAGAGUGAGACGGGAUGGAGAAAACAAUUGUUUAAAAAUGGACAGGAGUGGGGGGAGAAAAGAGCUGGAGAACAAGGAGUCAGCAAGGAGGCAUCAGUAAUAUGGGCACAAAGAACUGGCUGCAGAGGUUCUGCCCAUCAUACGUCCAUCGGUUUUGUUUGGUCACCUAUUACUUGAACAUAGAUGAAGCAAGAGGAUUCUUUGAAAGUCCCCUACCUUCAGAAGUACCAAUCUAAGAAGACCCCAUAUCAGAAAGUGAACAUGACCAGACAGCCUGCCUGACAAUCAGUCUACAACCCUAAAAACUAAGACUUGAGAAACUGUUGCCUGAAGUAGACAUUGCAUGGAAUUUGUAUCACAAUACAAUUGGAUAACAUCACAGAGGGAGAGUUAAGUUUUCCAGUGUGAUUCAGUAUUCAGCUCUUGAGCUGAGAAUGUAUGUGUUUAUAUUAAGGCUUUGGUUUACAAUUCAUGAGAAUGUGGCCUGAGAGCUUGGCAAUUAAAAUCUACAUUUGUUAUGUUUUAGAGAACACAGGAAUAUUCCCUUUAGUAAGUCAAUAAUUUCCUUAAUGUGUUUUUUUGUUUUGCUUUUUUUGUUCAUGGUUUCUUUAUUCUUAGAGGAUAUAUGUUCAGGCAGGUCCACAUCAUACAUUUAAAGCACAUCCAAUGGACAUUUAAAGCACAUGACUUCCCCCAAAGAAUCAUGGGAACUGCUGUUUGUUAAGGAAGCUGGGAAUUUGUAGCUUUGUGAGGGGGAAAAAUCACAGUUUCCAGAAUUCUUUGGGGGAAGUCAUGUGCUUUAAAUGUACAGUGUGGAUCCGCUCUUGAAAACCAAAACAUUUAAACAUGCAAGCAACACAAACAGACAGACUGACCAAAGAUCUAGACAGGAUGCCAAAAGCAUUGUGCUGUGCGGUUCCUUUUCAGCUGUAAAAACAAUCUCAACCCUGAAAUUCUGCCAUAUAGUCAUAAGAUAAAAAAAUCCCAUGUGACCAUACUAGGAUCUGCAAAUACAUUCUCUCUAUCCCAUGCAGCUAUUUACACUUGUCUAGUCCAUGAGCAAGAGAAAGGGUCUUUUUGUCUGGGAUUCUGAAUUCAUAAAUCUAUUCAUUUUUAUUGCUUCAUUAUAUAAGGCUGUUUCAGAUUAGCAAGAGGUGUUUAUAAAACGAAAGACUGAGCCCUUUUCAGUAGUUGUCUGUGAUGUUCUAUUUGCUCUGAUUAUAUAAACCCAAUGUAAGAAUGUGAUUAUAAAGGUUCUCUGUUUCUAUAUAAUCUUGUAACAAUUACAUCCAGAAAGAUAGAUUGAACCGAUUCAAGUCUUUAAUAAUGUGGGCAAGGUUGCAACCCUAAACAUACCUACUAAGGAGUAAG
Molecule: long non-coding RNA, 1453 nt
Organism: Rhineura floridana
Lineage: Eukaryota; Metazoa; Chordata; Lepidosauria; Squamata; Rhineuridae
Exons: 3
Source: RefSeq, a predicted model, not a curated record